UAAACACCGUUUUAAAAGUGAGUCCGUAAGUGACUGUGGUGCCAAUCCUUGAUCCACACAUCCUUCCACAGUGGGGACAUAGGUUUGAUCACGGUGAGAGUUUGCCAAGCGUGCCUUCCUCUUAGUGCGUUUCUCCCUUUCGUCCUGAGUUCCAGCAUUUUCAAAACCCAUGACACCUUUGGUAAAGGCUGUUCUCCAACUGGAGCGCUCGCAGGCCAGUGUUUCCCAGUUGUUGGUUUUUAUACUACAUUUAUUUCAUGCAUUGUGAUAUAUCAGUAUAUCACGAUGCCCCCCCCCCCCCCCGUGAUAUAUCACAAUGUUGAAAAGCAAAUAUUACCCAGCCCUAGUGGGUGGGUGUUUUCAUCAGAUGUCACCCCCCCACCCAGUGUCCUAGGACAUAUCAAGAACAGACAGUCCAGUCCCUGUAGCAUCUUGGGUGGUGUCUGAUUAACUAUACUCUUCCAGGAAAAGUUUUUGCCAGAUGGCUAAGUGACACCUUAAGUCAGGGGGAAUGAAGUUUUUAUAGCCUGGGGGGCUGCAUUCCCUUUUUGGGGACCAAAUGCCAGCCAUGGGUGCAGCCAGGAGCGAAAAUGAGUACAGCAACCAAUGCAGAUUUUGCCUUUGUACAUUAGGCUUGCUUGACAUCCAUGCACCUCUACUCUCCACCAAGGCAAGAAAGACACAUGGGCAGAGUUCAAGGGCACGUUCCAGCCAGCCAGAAGCAUUCCAUGAAGGUGCAAUGCAGGGCGAGUGAGGGGAGUGGUGAGAUCCAGCCACACGCCAGCAAAUUCAGGUUGCAGUGUUACAGUCACUGGAGUGCCAUUGCGCCACAGUGCUGCUUCUCCAGAAAUCGGACAUUUUUUGCAGGAAAGAAAGUGAUGAUGACAGGGAGAGUCAGAGGUUAUCCAAAACAGAAAGUACAGAAAGGAUGGGAAAUCUUUAAAGAAUAUCUGAAAAUCUAUUGUAACAAUAAACAUCUCCUGGCAGAACUAGAAUGAUUCUUGUAAAAUAAGAAAUAUAAUGUUUUUGGUAUCUGAUGAAAACAAAGAAAGUAAUACAGUAAUCUGGAACUGUGUGUGAAAAAAUAACAGAAAAAAUAAUACAAUGAGUCUAAUUGGAAGUCAAAUGUGUUUAUUUUUUCUUUCUUUCUUCUAAUUCUUUCUUUAAAUCUCCCCCCUUCUUCUUUUUCUUUCUACCUUCUUUUUUUGUUCCUUUUUCUUUUUGAUCUGCUAAGAAAAAGAUAAAGAGAUAAAAGUUAAAUAUGAAAAACUGAGCAAGUUAAAGUGAUGUUCUGUAAUUUUUCAACUACUAUUAAAGAUGGUCAAUUGUAAUGCACUGAUGUAGUAGUUAUUGUGGAUUUUUUUGUUAUUGUUGAAUCUUAAAUAAAGUAUUAAAAGAAAAGGAAAAAAGUGUGGAGUAGCAAUGGCUCGAUGCAAUGUUGUGUAACCUCCUAACAAACAAUGAAUAGAAUGAAUGCUGGAUAAGCAGCCAAUGUUGUCUGAAAUCACUGAAAACUUUGUGCUCAAUAAAACGGGUUGUCUGGAAGCAGCCAUUUCCUCCUGUGGAAAUAUCAGGAAAGGAUGUUUAAGUGUGCAUGCAAGUGUGUAAUGUACAUGCUGGCGGGCACUUCAUUUUGCUGCUUGAAAUGCCAAGCUGGAGCAUCUCCCUGUCAUCAGAGUUCCUAUGUUUUGAAAUGGCACCUGGGGUGCUUUGUCCUCUUUGUAAAUAUUUAGUCUACAAAUCUGCAAAGAGAAGCACACACUCCCCAGAAAGCCACGGGUGGCACUAACACCUUGUUGCUGGCAUCCGUCUGAACUGGGAGACACAUGGCAACCAUUGUUUUUGUUCCUUUACCAUCUGAAAUUUUAUUUUUUAAUUUUUUCCAAAGGUUUUUUUGGGGGGUGGGGGUGGGGAAUGGGAGAAAGAACAACAUGUUUCACACAUUAUAAAGAGAACAGCCAUGGGGUGUGGUGAGAGACGGAACCGCGUCAUAAAUUUAAAGCACAUCCAGCACACAUUUAAAACAAAGUAUCCUGGGAAGUGUAGAGUCUUAAGGGUGCUGGGAAUUGUAGUUGUGAGGGGGGCAGCUACAGUUCCCAGGAUUCUUUGGGGGAGUCACAUGCUCUAAAUGUGUGUUGGAUGUGCUUUAAAAGUACA
Molecule: long non-coding RNA, 2157 nt
Filed under: Podarcis muralis (Common wall lizard)
Lineage: Eukaryota; Metazoa; Chordata; Lepidosauria; Squamata; Lacertidae
Description: lncRNA (ENSPMRG00000013171.1)
Source: RNAcentral